Felis catus (domestic cat) is the source of this 1948-nucleotide long non-coding RNA. RefSeq lists it as uncharacterized. The transcript is spliced from 3 exons. Lineage: Eukaryota; Metazoa; Chordata; Mammalia; Carnivora; Felidae. The record is from RefSeq and is a predicted model, not a curated record.
CUUGGUCGGUUUUCGUCGGUUUUCGUGGGCGGUUGGGUGUUCGGUUCAGGUUGGCGGAGUAGAAGGGUCCCCCCCCUUCCUCCCCUGGAUUCAGUUUUGGUGGAAUUGUCAUGAGAAGGUCCGCCUCUCCUGGCCAAAGCUCAGAGGCCAGUCAGACUCCUUCUCCCCCGCCUCUGAGUCUUGAGCAGCAUCACUUCCUCCUGGACGCCUUCCCUCCACUGAGGCAGGUGCCCCCUUCGGUGCCGCCCCGAGUUCCAGCUGUCAGAGCACUUCUAGGCCAGUAGAUGUUCCAGAGAAUGUGGUAGCAGCUUCCAGGCCUUCCAGUCUAGCCCCAGCCUGUGGCCACUUCUCCUGAGCCAGGGGACGCUUACCCAGCCAGGUACAGCCUUCCAUGAAUCCCUCACCUGGGAGCUAUCUACUGUCAGCACAGAGCCUGCUUUGGAUCCUCGGUCUCCCCCCCCCCCGCCCCUCCCCAGCUUGUUUUCCUCACGCUCUCUCUCUCUCUCUCUUUCAAAAAUAAACAUUAAAAAAAAAAAAGAAUUGGUAUGAAUCCCUCACCUGGGCCUUGGGCCUCUGUUCCUAAACAGCCCCCUAGUUGUCCUUCCCUGCCCUGUGCAGAAGCGUGAAAGAGGGUGAGGGUUAGGGGACUGCAUUAAAGGAGGUCACACAAAGGGACAUUUACCUGAGAGGGUAACUACCAUCCCCACACUAAACCUUGUAGAUUUAGGAACCUGGACACUGUUUGGAAGGAUGCUGUCUUCUUAGCCUGUGAGUUCUCUUAUUUGUGCGCAGGCAGGUUGCACAUUCUUUGUUUAGAAAUAUCAAUACCUUUCAGUCCAGUCUGACUUUGGCCUAAGGCCAUUCUGACUUUUAAGGCUAAUUAGCUGCUAAGCCCAGAUUCACACCCAGGGGGCCUGACUCCAGAGGCCUUGCUCACCACCUCUGUACCCUACUGCUUUGUCGCACUCAAGUUCUUUUCUUGAAGAGGUUUAGGCUGUUAGAAAAAUGUACAUAUGUUUCUAGGAUCAAAUGCCUUAAAUCUGUCCUCAUCUUUUCUUGCCUUGAAAAAAAAAAAAAAGCUAGUUUUAAAAACAGUGAGAGACAAUGAUGAUUAAGAAGUAUUACUGUAGUUUGGGCUUUUAACAAACAGUGAUAAUAUCUGCUCAUCUUUGAAACGUAUAAAGAUAACCACUAGUAGAACAAACAGAAUGCGUCAUCUUCAAACCAGUGAACGGAUGCAUGUGUUAAGGUUCUUCGUUGCAAAAAACAGCCAACGACUCUGGCCGACUCAAGAAGAAAAGGAAUUUAUUGAAAAGCUCCCAGUAGCUCACAACAGCAACAGGAAGGCCAGAACAGCUGGCAGAGAAGAAAGGGCAGAAACCCAGGAGCCUGGGUGGCGGGAGCCCCAGGAACCAGCCCAGACGGGAUGCUGCUGUUGGCACUGUGGGCCUGGACACAUCUGCCCCUGUUGUCACGGGUCUGAGGAUCACUUGCUCCAGAUAGGAGUCCCAUGUCAGAUCAGCCAAGCUGCCUGAGGGCGAGUCAUGGGCCACUUGGUGAUGUCAGCGGUAGAGUGUCCGGAACCCUUCCAGUGUCUGUAGUGGGAGCCUGGGUUUGGUCUCUUGAUGAGAGUCAUACACUGAGGGACUCCUGGCCCACACACACACCAGGAAUGCGGUAAAUAUGCCAGGAAGCUCCCAAAAGGCAGCUCCUCUCUACAAGGAAGUCCUGGGACAGAGAAAACUUGGUGGAUCCAUUAGAGGGGAACAUGGGGAAGGAAGAGUCUGAGAAGUAUACAACAUGAGGUGGGCUCCCACAUGUCAGGACUGAUUUGGAAAUACCAUCUGACUAUGUAGCAAUAGAUGUGAAGUGCCGUGUCCUUCACAUUUUCUUUCUUUUUUUUUUUUUUUUUUUUUAGUUUAUUUAUUUAUUUUGAGAGCGUAUGCAG